Molecule: long non-coding RNA, 472 nt
Filed under: Heterocephalus glaber (naked mole-rat)
Lineage: Eukaryota; Metazoa; Chordata; Mammalia; Rodentia; Bathyergidae
Description: lncRNA (ENSHGLG00100034951.1)
Source: RNAcentral
CCCCCUGCGCCCGAGCUCCGAGGCCGCGCUUCCUGCGUCCGCGUCCCGGUCUCCGCGCGGAUCGCGCGCCCUCUCCGCGCCGCGCUCCCUCGACCGAGGCUCCCCAGAGCCCCCAGCCCGCGAUCGUGGCGUCCCCGAAGAAGCAGCUCAGGGUAGGGGUGUCGCGCCGCCCCUAACCCCGGGCCGCCGGGCAGAAACCCAGCCGGACCCGCCGCCGCCCGGGUGAGAAUUUCUAGGCUUCCCCCCACACAAAGUUCACACCGGAAAUAAAUGUGCAACAGAUCUGAGGCUGCCUGGCUCUUGGAUCUUCUCCCAGUCACUGUCAGGAGCCCUCCAAAGCUCAGAGCCCCACACUGCUACUUGCCGUAAGGAGACAGUUGGCCCGGGGGUGUGGUACAGAAUUCUGAAGAUCUUAGAAGUCCGCUUCUCAUCCUGGCACUCUAGGAUGGGCCGCUGCAAGGGACACAAAGCC